This 253-nucleotide ribosomal RNA is filed under the name uncultured bacterium. Its description in RNAcentral is "partial 16S ribosomal RNA". It matches the Rfam family "Bacterial small subunit ribosomal RNA", at positions 524 to 776 of the family's 1533-position model. The record is from RNAcentral.
UACGUAGGGAGCAAGCGUUGUUCGGAUUUACUGGGCGUAAAGGGCGCGUAGGCGGCGCGGUAAGUCACUUGUGAAAUCUCUGAGCUUAACUCAGAACGGCCAAGUGAUACUGCAGUGCUAGAGUGCAGAAGGGGCAAUCGGAAUCCUUGGUGUAGCGGUGAAAUGCGUAGAUAUCAAGAGGAACACCUGAGGUGAAGACGGGUUGCUAGGCUGACACUGACGCUGAGGCGCGAAAGCCAGGGGAGCAAACGGG